UCCUGAGCUCAGGUGAUCUGCCCGCCUCUGCCUCCCAACGUGCUGGGAUUACAGGUGUGAGCCACUGCGCCCGGCUUCGAAUCCAUUUUCCAAACACAUGUAGCUCUGACUGGUCCAGGGAUGAGUAUGUGACACUUAAGUCCAACGAGAUGCAAUGAGACUUUUGUUGUGGCUUCUGGGAGUGCCAGAGGCUCUUUUCUACCAGGCUUAGUCAGCCUUGCAGCCACAGCAGGAGAUGCUAAGAACCGCCCUGAGAGGGAAAAAGAGGAGCAGAGGGAUCAAGAGACACUCAUCAGGAACUGCUGACAUUUGAGCCUCUGGAUCUGGCUGUGCCUGAAACUAACAAGCUACUCCUUCCACAUUCUAGUUAUCUGAUAUUAUAAAUUUAUUUCAUUUAAAGCUAUUUAACUUAGGUUUUGUUGUUGUUGCAUGCAACCAAGAGUGCUGACUGAUACAAUCUUCCAAUUAUAUGCUGUUUUUACUUUAAAAGGGGUGUUUGGUGUCUCAGCCUGAAAGGAGCAGUAAUGGUAGGAUUGAGGGCACAUAGCAAUCCAGGAAGAAGGCAAUGGUACAUAGACCCCUGAAAUCAUACCAGAUGGCCAGUUACUACUCAGUCUCUAGAUUCAGCUGGUUCUGCAAGAAGAGUUAUCAAGCUAUCAGCUUUCUCUUGCAGGCAUCCUUCUGUACCUUUAAGACAGAGCAUCUAAUUAGCUUUGGGUGGUUUCAGUUAGGCGUAUAGUGGAGAAAUUAAGAAAACAUUAAAACCAGGACCAUUGGAACAUGAGGAUGUGCGGCUUAAGAUUUACCCAAGAGGGGCUGACCUCAAUUAGGACGUUGAUGCUGGAUUGGGUGCUCUGGUUUUCCUCUACUUUAAAAACUGUUGGAUCCCUGAUAUGCCAAGACCCCAGAGAGAUGGAGAAACGUUUACGUGCAUGGAGGAAAAAAUAUCUUUUUAGAGUUACAAAGUGAGAAUCACAGUUAUUCUACCACUAUUAAGCCAGAAAAUCAUUGUCUAAAAUGGAUAUUUUUUUCUUUUUUAAUGUGUAAAUGAGCUUCUUGGUUGGUUUAAAGGGGCAAAGAUUCCCAUCAGCCUUCAGAGCUGGUCACUCAUCAGUGGAUUGGUAAAUGCAGAAUGGGGUUCGAGUCUGUAUCUUCUUUAGUGGAACAGUGGGUAAUGUCGUUUUGACUCACGAAUCAGUUUCCUUCACUCUUCUGGGCUAAUGACCCACUUCCUCCGGCUUCCCUUAGCUGCACCUGGUGUUUCUGUGGGAAAGGCCUUCACACUGACAUUCUUAUUUGAUAGUGAAUGUUGAUGGACACCAGGCCUGCUUAUGCACAAGAGCUUCUGACCUGGGAUCAGAGAAGGAAACGGAAUUUUAAAGAAAUGUCUCAAGAGUCAGAGAAGGCAGGAGCCGAGAAGUGAUCACUACUGACCUCAAGCUCAAAGACCUAUGGGAAGUAGCAAAAUUCAACAGGAUGAGUGGUGAAUCCCUGGGUCCUUGGUCAAAGGUCCUGAGGUCCUGAGGUCAAAUCAGAAGAGAAAAUGCAAAUUUGUCCAUGUAAGAAAUUUAUUCCAAAAAGUCAGAUACAAAAAUUUGACUUGACAAAGCAUGGUGGGUUUUGUAAAAAAAAAUAAAUGGUUAUAAAGAGGA
RNAcentral lists this long non-coding RNA (1652 nucleotides) under Homo sapiens (human). RNAcentral describes it as "HSALNT0401414". Lineage: Eukaryota; Metazoa; Chordata; Mammalia; Primates; Hominidae. The record is from RNAcentral.